RNAcentral lists this ribosomal RNA (723 nucleotides) under uncultured Enterobacteriaceae bacterium. RNAcentral describes it as "bacterial SSU rRNA". It matches the Rfam family "Bacterial small subunit ribosomal RNA", at positions 779 to 1502 of the family's 1533-position model. The record is from RNAcentral. Lineage: Bacteria; Pseudomonadati; Pseudomonadota; Gammaproteobacteria; Enterobacterales; Enterobacteriaceae.
UAGAUACCCUGGUAGUCCACGCUGUAAACGAUGUCGAUUUGGAGUUUGUUGCCUAGAGUGAUGGGCUCCGAAGCUAACGCGAUAAAUCGACCGCCUGGGGAGUACGGCCGCAAGGUUAAAACUCAAAUGAAUUGACGGGGGCCCGCACAAGCGGUGGAGCAUGUGGUUUAAUUCGAUGCAACGCGAAGAACCUUACCUGGUCUUGACAUCCAUAGAAUUCUGCAGAGAUGUGGGAGUGCCUUCGGGAACUAUGAGACAGGUGCUGCAUGGCUGUCGUCAGCUCGUGUUGUGAAAUGUUGGGUUAAGUCCCGCAACGAGCGCAACCCUUAUUCUUUGUUGCCAGCGAUUUGGUCGGGAACUCAAAGGAGACUGCCGUUGAUAAAGCGGAGGAAGGUGGGGACGACGUCAAGUCAUCAUGGCCCUUACGACCAGGGCUACACACGUGCUACAAUGGCGUAUACAAAGGGAAGCGAAGGUGCGAGCUGGAGCGGAUCUCAUAAAGUACGUCUAAGUUCGGAUUGGAGUCUGCAACUCGACUCCAUGAAGUCGGAAUCGCUAGUAAUCGUAGAUCAGAAUGCUACGGUGAAUACGUUCCCGGGCCUUGUACACACCGCCCGUCACACCAUGGGAGUGGGUUGCACCAGAAGUAGAUAGCUUAACCGCGAGGGGGGCGUUUACCACGGUGUGAUUCAUGACUGGGGUGAAGUCGUAACAAGGUAACCA